GCGAGCUGGGCUUGCCCAACGUGCAGCUGUUUCCGAGGGGUUUCCCCACGUCGUUACGUCAGCAACGCAGCGCGGGCAAGCUAAUGAAGAAUUAGGUCCACAAGCUAAACGGAACAGAAGAGUGUUGGCAAGGGAACUGUGCAGUCAGGAAGAAGAGCAAGGAAAAAAGGAGUACAUAACAGGGAGCUGUGAAUAAUCAUUGAUACAAGCUGAAGAAUCAGCUGGAACAGAACAACCUGCAAAACUGGUCCCUUAACACCAGAUUUUUUACAAGUGUUUAGGUGCAGAGUGAUGUAGGUAGGUACCUGACAUGCCACAGUGGUUAACUCCCAUUGAAGUCCUCAUGAAAAUCCCAUUAAGGGUCUAUCUGUAUGAUUAGAUGACUAAAUGUGUUUAAAAAAAUCAGACAUUAAUGCUUAGGGGCUUAGAUAAUGUUGAUUUUGUAGAAAAUGCUAACAUAAAUAUGGCUUUUGUUUCUUAAAUUUUACAUCAUCAUAAUCAUCUUUGAUUAAUUGUUGCCUGGGAAACCUUUUGAAUGUCUGUUUGCCUCUGACAUUGGAAAUAUUUCCAGCUUUUCAGUUCACUGAGAAGUCUUACUGUGAUUAUGAGUCUUUGUUUGGGAUUUGCUGAACAUUUCUGUAUGAUUUAUAGUUAAAAGAAUGAUGAUUCUUCUCUCACA
Long non-coding RNA from Gavialis gangeticus (Gharial), 679 nucleotides. RefSeq lists it as uncharacterized. The transcript is spliced from 2 exons. The record is from RefSeq and is a predicted model, not a curated record. Lineage: Eukaryota; Metazoa; Chordata; Crocodylia; Gavialidae.